RNAcentral lists this ribosomal RNA (492 nucleotides) under uncultured bacterium. RNAcentral's name for it is "partial 16S ribosomal RNA". It matches the Rfam family "Bacterial small subunit ribosomal RNA", at positions 29 to 507 of the family's 1533-position model. The record is from RNAcentral.
AGUGAAUGCUGGCGGUAGGCCUAACACAUGCAAGUCGAACGGCAGCACAGUAAGAGCUUGCUCUUACGGGUGGCGAGUGGCGGACGGGUGAGGAAUACAUCGGAAUCUACUUUUUCGUGGGGGAUAACGUAGGGAAACUUACCCUAAUACCGCAUACGACCUACGGGUGAAAGCAGGGGAUCUUCGGACCUUGCGCGAUUGAAUGAGCCGAUGUCGGAUUAGCUAGUUGGCGGGGUAAAGGCCCACCAAGGCGACGAUCCGUAGCUGGUCUGAGAGGAUGAUCAGCCACACUGGAACUGAGACACGGUCCAGACUCCUACGGGAGGCAGCAGUGGGGAAUAUUGGACAAUGGGCGCAAGCCUGAUCCAGCCAUACCGCGUGGGUGAAGAAGGCCUUCGGGUUGUAAAGCCCUUUUGUUGGGAAAGAAAAGCAGCAGGUUAAUACCCCGCUGUUCUGACGGUACCCAAAGAAUAAGCACCGGCUAACUUCGUG